Molecule: ribosomal RNA, 777 nt
Filed under: uncultured Neocallimastigales
Lineage: Eukaryota; Fungi; Neocallimastigomycota; Neocallimastigomycetes; Neocallimastigales
Description: partial large subunit ribosomal RNA
Rfam family: Eukaryotic large subunit ribosomal RNA
Source: RNAcentral
CAUAGCGACUAUCGUGGCAUAUCAAUAAGCGGAGGAAAAGAAACUAACAAGGAUUCCCUAGUAACGGCGAGUGAAGCGGGAAGAGCUCAAACUUGAAAUCUUAAAGGGUUCUACCUUGACGAAUUGUAGUUUAUAGAAGUGUUUUCUGUUAGUAGAGUGGCAAAAGUUCUUUGGAAUAGGACAUCAUAGAGGGUGAGAAUCCCGUAUUUGGUCAUUCCUCCUAGCUUUGUGAUACACUUUCAACGAGUCGGAUUGUUUGGGAAUGCAGUCCAAAAUGGGUGGUAAAUUUCAUCUAAAGCUAAAUAUUGGCGAGAGACCGAUAGCGAACAAGUACCGUGAGGGAAAGAUGAAAAGAACUUUGAAAAGAGAGUUAAACAGUACGUGAAAUUGUCAAAAGGGAAGCGUUUGACACCAGUGUUGUUUUCUCGAAAAUCAAUUACGAAUGUUUUGUUUUUGAGGAGUUAUGACUUCAUCGGCUUGCUCCUUUCUUUAUGAAACUUUCUUAAUGCACUUUUCGGUUAACAAGUCUACAUCAAUUUCUUUUGUUGUAAAAGGGUAUGAGGAAGGUGGCUUUCUUUUCGGAGAAAGUGUUUAUAGCCUUGUGCCUCUGCAAUCGGAGAGAUUGAGGUUUGCAGCGUAGAUCCUUCGGGGUUAGAUACAGUUUGUGCUAAGUUAUAGCUUUUCAUAGACAACUUGUUGACUAUGAUUUAGUCAUUGUAGCUUACUCGCUUAUGCUAUUUUACCUACGCUUAGGAUGUUGACGAGACUGUCGAUCUC